UAGGGAAUCUUCCACAAUGGACGCAAGUCUGAUGGAGCAACGCCGCGUGAGUGAAGAAGGUUUUCGGAUCGUAAAGCUCUGUUGUUGGUGAAGAAGGAUAGAGGCAGUAACUGGUCUUUAUUUGACGGUAAUCAACCAGAAAGUCACGGCUAACUACGUGCCAGCAGCCGCGGUAAUACGUAGGUGGCAAGCGUUGUCCGGAUUUAUUGGGCGUAAAGCGAGCGCAGGCGGAAUGAUAAGUCUGAUGUGAAAGCCCACGGCUCAACCGUGGAACUGCAUCGGAAACUGUCAUUCUUGAGUGCAGAAGAAGGGAGUGGAAUUCCAUGUGUAGCGGUGGAAUGCGUAGAUAUAUGGAAGAACACCAGUGGCGGAGGCGGCUCUCUGGUCUGCAACUGACGCUGAGGCUCGAAAGCAUGGGUAGCGAACAGG
RNAcentral lists this ribosomal RNA (429 nucleotides) under bacterium. RNAcentral's name for it is "partial 16S ribosomal RNA". It matches the Rfam family "Bacterial small subunit ribosomal RNA", at positions 355 to 776 of the family's 1533-position model. The record is from RNAcentral.